RNAcentral lists this ribosomal RNA (328 nucleotides) under uncultured eukaryote. RNAcentral describes it as "partial 18S ribosomal RNA". It matches the Rfam family "Eukaryotic small subunit ribosomal RNA", at positions 1470 to 1796 of the family's 1831-position model. The record is from RNAcentral.
CCCCUAGACGUUCUGGGCUGCACGCGCGCUACAAUAAUACGCACAGCGAGUAUCACCGAGCUCGAAAGGGCAAGGUAAACAAUAGAAAAGGUACUGUAAUGGUUAUAGAUCCUUGUAAUUAUUGAUCUUCAACGAGGAAUUCCUAGUAAGUAUGUGUCAUCAUCACGCACUGAUUACGUCCCUGCCCUUUGUACACACCGCCCGUCGCUCCUACCGAUUGAGCGGUCCGGUGAAGACUCAGGAGAUGGGCGCGUGCUUGGUUCGCCAACUGCGCUGCCUGCCAAAUUUGUCUAAACCUUAUCGCUUAGAGGAAGGAGAAGUCGUAACA